This 67-nucleotide transfer RNA is filed under the name Marmota monax (woodchuck). Its description in RNAcentral is "tRNA.Ala". The record is from RNAcentral. Lineage: Eukaryota; Metazoa; Chordata; Mammalia; Rodentia; Sciuridae.
GGUUGUGGCUCAGUGGUAGAGUGCUUGCCUAGCAUGUGUGAGGCACUGGGUUUGAUCCCGGGCACCA